Molecule: long non-coding RNA, 1354 nt
Filed under: Equus caballus (horse)
Lineage: Eukaryota; Metazoa; Chordata; Mammalia; Perissodactyla; Equidae
Description: lncRNA (ENSECAG00000052412.1)
Source: RNAcentral
GUAAGUAUAAAACUCAGUCAGUCCCCAACACUUUUGUUCUUGCUUUUUUCACUAGAUUUUACCAUAGGCUUUAAAUUUCUUGUUUUUCACUAUCAACUUACAUUCCCGCUACAAAAUGUAAUUCUAAAUUAUUACAUUUCUUAAAGAUAAGAGAAUUUCAUGAAAAUCGUCAAUACCAUUAAUCUUUAUUACUUUGAUAUUACUCUGUCACAAUAUUGGUUAUAAAAAUAAAAAUGGAAAUUCCUUGGAUCGCCUAUUAAAAUUCAAAUUAUUGAAACGUUUUGACUAGAAAAAAAUGUUCAUCACAUUUUUGAGAAAAAGUCUAAAAAAUGCCAUUUGAUAUUUUUAUAAACAGAAAAUAUUGGAAGGAAUUUUCACAAAAGUAUUAACAGUGGCCAUUCAAAGGAAUUAGCCAUUUAAUUUGUCCUUUGCAUUUUCAACGUUUUCUAAUAUUUAUGCAAUGGCCAUGUAUUACCUUUGCAAUUAGAAUAAACAUUUAAAAAAUAAUAGAAUAAUAGAAUAAAAUACUGUAUGAAAAUUAUCUUAAUUUGUUAAUUUAUGUUUCAACGUUCUAAGAAAUACAUCUGCUUAAGAAAAAAAUCUCUGUGACAUAAGAAGCUUCUGAAAGCUUAUGAUAGCCAAAUUCAACCUAUUUCAGUGACAAUGUGGGAGAAUAUGAAUACUAUUUGCUGGAAAACCUAAGUUUCUGUGUAUUGGGAAUUCCUGAAGGCCUUGGUUUAGUGGUUCUGACUCAAGCUCUCUCAUGUGAUGUCAUCCAGACUGGAGCUGACAAGGGGUGAGAGGUGGUUAUGCAGCUGCGACCUGGCCUGGCAUCACUCUGUUUAGUUUCAGGGCCUCUGCAUGUGAUAUCUCCUCAUGGGUUAGUUUGGGCCUCCUCGCAGCAUGGUGGCCUCACGGCAGCCGAACAGUUUAUACUGCCCCUGAAGACUUCAGGAGGGAAUAUUUCAAGAGAACCAGAUUCUGUAGACCAACUUCAUUCUGCAACACAACUGCAUUACAUUUUCUUUGCUUCUGUAUCACAUCUUCCAGAGACUACAUCCUUCUUCUUGACUGGAUUUAGAUGUCCUAUAAGGCAUUAUAUAGGAUAUUUAUCGGCCCGCAAAACUUUCAUGAAUGGCUGGAUCAUCCAUCCACACAAUUCAUAUUGGCUUCACUUUUAGAGCAAAAGGUCAUUUCCAAGUGCCAGGACAAAUGUCAGUAUAAUUUCGUACAUCUGUACAUAGCUUGUGUAUGUCUGUGUUUUCUUGAAUAAAUUUGAAAGAGCUCCUUAUGUGUUAGGCAUUAACCAUUUGAAUAUUUGAGGCAAGUACUUCCCCGAUGCUGUUAUUUUCAC